GUGCUCACCUCAGCAGCACGUACUCUAAACUCAGAACGAUGCGGAGAAGAUCAGCGUGGCCCCUGUGCAAGGGUGACAUGCACAUUCGUGAAGCAUUCCAUGCUUUU
Phyllostomus hastatus (greater spear-nosed bat) is the source of this 107-nucleotide small nuclear RNA. The record is from RefSeq and is a predicted model, not a curated record. Lineage: Eukaryota; Metazoa; Chordata; Mammalia; Chiroptera; Phyllostomidae.